CCUACGGGUGGCAGCAGUAGGGAAUAUUGCUCAAUGGGGGAAACCCUGAAGCAGCAACGCCGCGUGGAGGAUGAAGGCUUUCGGGUUGUAAACUUCUUUUGUCAGGGACGAAGCAAGUGACGGUACCUGACGAAUAAGCCACGGCUAACUACGUGCCAGCAGCCGCGGUAAUACGUAGGUGGCAAGCGUUAUCCGGAUUUACUGGGUGUAAAGGGCGUGUAGGCGGGGAAGCAAGUCAGAUGUGAAAACCACGGGCUCAACCUGUGGCCUGCAUUUGAAACUGUUUUUCUUGAGUGCUGGAGAGGCAAUCGGAAGUCCGUGUGUAGCGGUGAAAUGCGUAGAUAUACGGAGGAACACCAGUGGUGAAGGCGGAUUGCUGGACAGUAACUGACGCUGAGGCGCGAAAGCGUGGGGAGCAAACAGGAUUAGAUACCCGAGUAGUC
Molecule: ribosomal RNA, 443 nt
Filed under: uncultured bacterium
Lineage: Bacteria
Description: partial 16S ribosomal RNA
Rfam family: Bacterial small subunit ribosomal RNA
Source: RNAcentral